This 621-nucleotide ribosomal RNA is filed under the name bacterium 4878K2-B7. Its description in RNAcentral is "bacterial SSU rRNA". It matches the Rfam family "Bacterial small subunit ribosomal RNA", at positions 47 to 655 of the family's 1533-position model. The record is from RNAcentral.
CCUAACACAUGCAAGUCGAGCGGUAACAGAUUGAUAGCUUGCUAUCAAUGCUGACGAGCGGCGGACGGGUGAGUAAUGCCUGGGAAUAUGCCCUGAUGUGGGGGAUAACUAUUGGAAACGAUAGCUAAUACCGCAUAAUCUCUUCGGAGCAAAGAGGGGGACCUUCGGGCCUCUCGCGUCAGGAUUAGCCCAGGUGGGAUUAGCUUGUUGGUGGGGUAAUGGCUCACCAAGGCAACGAUCCCUAGCUGGUCUGAGAGGAUGAUCAGCCACACUGGAACUGAGACACGGUCCAGACUCCUACGGGAGGCAGCAGUGGGGAAUAUUGCACAAUGGGGGAAACCCUGAUGCAGCCAUGCCGCGUGUAUGAAGAAGGCCUUCGGGUUGUAAAGUACUUUCAGUUGUGAGGAAGGCGUUGAUGUUAAUAGCUUCAGCGUUUGACGUUAGCAACAGAAGAAGCACCGGCUAACUCCGUGCCAGCAGCCGCGGUAAUACGGAGGGUGCGAGCGUUAAUCGGAAUUACUGGGCGUAAAGCGCAUGCAGGUGGUCUGUUAAGCAAGAUGUGAAAGCCCGGGGCUCAACCUCGGAACAGCAUUUUGAACUGGCAGACUAGAGUACUGUAGA